CAGACAAUGAGAGUCUUCUUUCUGUAGACAGAGGAAAACAAACACAUGUCCGUUUAUUAGUAUUUCUAGGUAGACGCGAUGAGACAGAAAAUGUCAGCUGAACCUGGCAGCCUCAAGCAGAGGAAGCCCGUUUCUCCAACCUUGACACUGGAGUUGCCAAUCAGAUGCAGUGGAAGUGGGGGUGAGUCACUGUGGUGCUGAGACCUGCCUGGUGAGUUUCCAC
This is a long non-coding RNA of Gorilla gorilla gorilla (western lowland gorilla), 223 nucleotides long. RefSeq lists it as uncharacterized. NCBI's taxonomy places the organism in Eukaryota, Metazoa, Chordata, Mammalia, Primates, Hominidae. The record is from RefSeq and is a predicted model, not a curated record. The transcript has 3 exons.